Molecule: ribosomal RNA, 253 nt
Filed under: uncultured bacterium
Lineage: Bacteria
Description: partial 16S ribosomal RNA
Rfam family: Bacterial small subunit ribosomal RNA
Source: RNAcentral
UACGGAGGGUGCAAGCGUUGCUCGGAAUUAUUGGGCGUAAAGCGCGUGUAGGCGGUUACCUAAGUCUGAUGUGAAAGCCCGGGGCUUAACCCCGGAACUGCAUUGGAUACUGGGUGACUAGAGGACGAGAGAGGGUGGUGGAAUUCCUGGUGUAGGGGUGAAAUCCGUAGAUAUCAGGAGGAACAUCAGUGGCGAAGGCGGCCACCUGGCUCGUAUCUGACGCUGAGACGCGAAAGCGUGGGGAGCAAACAGG